UAUUAUGAGAGUUUGAUCCUGGCUCAGGACGAACGCUGGCGGCGUGCCUAAUACAUGCAAGUCGAACG
This 68-nucleotide ribosomal RNA is filed under the name Escherichia coli. Its description in RNAcentral is "partial 16S ribosomal RNA". It matches the Rfam family "Bacterial small subunit ribosomal RNA", at positions 1 to 68 of the family's 1533-position model. RNAcentral also lists the same sequence under 1 other name. Lineage: Bacteria; Pseudomonadati; Pseudomonadota; Gammaproteobacteria; Enterobacterales; Enterobacteriaceae. The record is from RNAcentral.